UGUAAUUCUUAUAGGUAAAUUGAGCUAUUGUGAGUUGAGACUGUCUGUCCUAUACAUUGCAUUAUUCCCUGUACCUAUCAAAUCCAUGUCCUAGUCACAUGCAAGAUAUAUCCAACCCAUCCCAAUAGCCCCAAGCAUUUUAACUCAUUCUAGCAUGAAAUCCAGUCUGAACAGCCAUCGACUCAGAGGAAACCCAGGCAAGGAGGGUGGGCCCCAACCAAGUCCAAAACUUGCAAACUGAGCCCAACAGGACCCAGAGGUUCAAGAAUGAUGUGGCAGGGCUCCAAGAUAAUCCUAUCUGCAGUCUGUGUCUCUUGAGACGAUCAACCGAGUCUGUAGCUGACACCCACACUAACGUCUUUUUCAGCAAUCAGUAGGAACCACGCUUCUCCAUCAACACUUCAUUAGGAGACCGCCUCCUCCUUCAAGUUCCUCUUUCACAAAGCACUAGAAUCUGAAGACAAUUCGGCCAAGUUCUUUGCCACUUUCUAAUAAGGAUCUGCCUUCCUCCGUGCCCUGAGAGCAUUUCCCUCUGAGUUCAUCAGGCUGGUCUCUGCCAGCAGGCACCAGCAGGCACCGCCAGCACCCUCCAUGGUACUUAGAUAUUUUCUAAGAAGCUGUCUCUACAGAACCCCCUUUUUCUUCCUGAGCUCUUAUCAUAAUCACCUGUGCAAUUCUACUCAUGGAAACUUGACUUUUUUUUUUUUUAGUAGAUGCAUCAGAAUUCUUCCAGUCUUUACCAGUCACGCAGUUCUGAAGCCAACACACAUUUUAGGUGUUUAUUACGACUAUACCCCCACUUCUAGUAUCAAUGUCUGCCCUUUUUUGGUCUCACAUGACAAAGUACCAUAGACUAGGUGGCUUACAGACAACAGAGAUGCAACCAUCAGAUUUCUAGGAGCUAAAAGUCCAAGAUCAAGGUGCUCCCAACGUUCUCACCUUUUUUUCUCAUUACUUUGGGGGUUAAGGGGUCAACAGGUGAAUUUAGGGGGAACAAAACACCCCAUCCAUUACAGAGAUGGGGCUUUGCUUAACAUGGAGGAAAUAACGAAAUUCCUCUGCAAAAAUGAUCUUUCGCUUUCUGAGAGAAAAGUCAGGAGAGGCCUAAGCAUCAGCUCAAGGCAGCAUCGACGGCUGGGGCAAGGACCUUUGG
Molecule: non-coding RNA, 1153 nt
Organism: Oryctolagus cuniculus (rabbit)
Lineage: Eukaryota; Metazoa; Chordata; Mammalia; Lagomorpha; Leporidae
Source: RefSeq, a predicted model, not a curated record